CCGCCCGUAGCACAGUUGGAUAAUGCAGCAGAUUCCGAUUCUGAAGACCGGGGGUUCGAAUCCCUUCGGGCGGGCCA
RNAcentral lists this transfer RNA (77 nucleotides) under Clostridia bacterium. RNAcentral's name for it is "tRNA-Arg". It matches the Rfam family "tRNA". Rfam says of the family: Transfer RNA (tRNA) molecules are approximately 80 nucleotides in length. Their secondary structure includes four short double-helical elements and three loops (D, anti-codon, and T loops). Further hydrogen bonds mediate the characteristic L-shaped molecular structure. tRNAs have two regions of fundamental functional importance: the anti-codon, which is responsible for specific mRNA codon recognition, and the 3' end, to which the tRNAs corresponding amino acid is attached (by aminoacyl-tRNA synthetases). tRNAs cope with the degeneracy of the genetic code in two manners: having more than one tRNA (with a specific anti-codon) for a particular amino acid; and 'wobble' base-pairing, i.e. permitting non-standard base-pairing at the 3rd anti-codon position. Lineage: Bacteria; Bacillati; Bacillota; Clostridia. The record is from RNAcentral.